This 244-nucleotide long non-coding RNA is filed under the name Mytilus galloprovincialis (Mediterranean mussel). Lineage: Eukaryota; Metazoa; Mollusca; Bivalvia; Mytilida; Mytilidae. The record is from RNAcentral.
UGCGUUCUCUUUGUUCACUCAAUGUAGGUUGCAUUUCGGUAAGCUAAAUAAAAUGUAAAAUCACCAAAAUAUUGAACUCAGGGUACAAUCAAAUCAGAAAGUCCCUAAUCACAAGGCCAAAUCAAAUGACAAAACACAUCAAAUACGAAUGGACAACAACUGUCAUAUUUCUGACUUGGUACAUGCUUUUUUAUAUGUAGAACAUGGUGUGUUAAACCUGGUUGUAUAGCGCCAAACCUCUCAC